UUGAACGCUGGCGGAAUGCUUUACACAUGCAAGUCGAACGGCAGCACGGGGGCAACCCUGGUGGCGAGUGGCGAACGGGUGAGUAAUAUAUCGGAACGUGCCCAAUCGUGGGGGAUAACGCAGCGAAAGUUGUGCUAAUACCGCAUAAGAUCUACGGAUGAAAGCGGGGGAUCGCAAGACCUCGCGCGAGUGGAGCGGCCGAUAUCAGAUUAGCUAGUUGGUGGGGUAAAGGCCCACCAAGGCGACGAUCUGUAGCUGGUCUGAGAGGACGACCAGCCACACUGGGACUGAGACACGGCCCAGACUCCUACGGGAGGCAGCAGUGGGGAAUUUUGGACAAUGGGCGCAAGCCUGAUCCAGCAAUGCCGCGUGCAGGAUGAAGGCCUUCGGGUUGUAAACUGCUUUUGUACGGAGCGAAAAGGUCUGCCCUAAUACGGUGGGCUCAUGACGGUACCGUAAGAAUAAGCACCGGCUAACUACGU
RNAcentral lists this ribosomal RNA (482 nucleotides) under uncultured bacterium. RNAcentral's name for it is "bacterial SSU rRNA". It matches the Rfam family "Bacterial small subunit ribosomal RNA", at positions 30 to 506 of the family's 1533-position model. The record is from RNAcentral.